Molecule: unclassified non-coding RNA, 310 nt
Filed under: plant metagenome
Description: partial contains 5.8S ribosomal RNA, internal transcribed spacer 2, and large subunit ribosomal RNA
Rfam family: 5.8S ribosomal RNA (bases 1-105)
Source: RNAcentral
GAAAUGCGAUAAGUAGUGUGAAUUGCAGAAUUCAGUGAAUCAUCGAAUCUUUGAACGAACAUUGCGCCCCUUGGUAUUCCAUGGGGCAUGCCUGUUCGAGCGUCAUUUGUACCCUCAAGCUCUGCUUGGUGUUGGGUGUUUGUCCCCGUCUCCGCGCGUGGACUCGCCCCAAAGUGAUUGGCAGCCGGCGUACUGGUCCCGGAGCGCAGCACAUGUCGCGCAAACGAGUGCCUUGGUACGGCGGCGUCCAUAAGCCCCUCUCUCACGCUCUUGACCUCGGAUCAGGUAGGGAUACCCGCUGAACUUAAGC